GUUCGGACUGUAGGCUGCAACUCGCCUACACGAAGCUGGAAUCGCUAGUAAUCGCGGAUCAGCACGCCGCGGUGAAUACCGUUCCCGGGCCUUGUACACACCGCCCGUCACACCAUGAGAGUCUGUAACACCCAAAGCCGGUGGGAUAACCUUUAUAGGAGUCAGCCGUCUAAGGUAGGACAGAUGAUUAGGGUGAAGUCGUAACAAGGUACC
Molecule: ribosomal RNA, 213 nt
Filed under: uncultured bacterium
Lineage: Bacteria
Description: partial 16S ribosomal RNA
Rfam family: Bacterial small subunit ribosomal RNA
Source: RNAcentral